This 468-nucleotide ribosomal RNA is filed under the name uncultured bacterium. RNAcentral's name for it is "partial 16S ribosomal RNA". It matches the Rfam family "Bacterial small subunit ribosomal RNA", at positions 28 to 507 of the family's 1533-position model. The record is from RNAcentral.
GACGAACGCUGGCGGCGUGCUUAACACAUGCAAGUCGAACGGAAAGGCGCUGCUUUUGUGGGGUGCUCGAGUGGCGAAGGGGUGUGUAACACGUGAGUAACCUGCGCUUGACUUUGGGAUAACUUCAGGAGACUGGGGCUAAUACCGGAUAGGAGCUCCUGCUGCAUGGUGGGGGUUGGAAAGUUUCGGCGGUUGGGGAUGGAUUCGCGGCUUAUCAGCUUGUUGGUGGGGUAGUGGCUUACCAAGGCUUUGGCGGGUAGCCGGCCUGAGAGGGUGACCGGCCACAUUGGGACUGAGAUACGGCCCAGACUCCUACGGGAGGCAGCAGUGGGGAAUAUUGCACAAUGGGCGGAAGCCUGAUGCAGCAACGCCGCGUGCGGGAUGACGGCCUUCGGGUUGUAAACCGCUUUCGCCUGUGACGAAGCGUGAGUGACGGUAAUGGGUAAAGAAGCACCGGCUAACUACGUG